This 253-nucleotide ribosomal RNA is filed under the name uncultured bacterium. RNAcentral's name for it is "partial 16S ribosomal RNA". It matches the Rfam family "Bacterial small subunit ribosomal RNA", at positions 524 to 776 of the family's 1533-position model. The record is from RNAcentral.
UACGGAGGGUGCGAGCGUUGUCCGGAAUCAUUGGGCGUAAAGGGCGCGUAGGUGGCUUCUUAAGCGUGCGGUGAAAGCCUGGGGCUCAACCCCGGGUCGGCCGUGCGAACUGGGGGGCUGGAGCACUGUAGAGGCAGGCGGAAUUCCGGGUGUAGCGGUGGAAUGCGUAGAGAUCCGGAGGAAGACCGGUGGCGAAGGCGGUCUGCUGGGCAGUUUCUGACACUGAUGCGCGACAGCGUGGGGAGCAAACAGG